UUUGGAAGGUAUAUUGUGGUAUCUGCAUUAUAAUGGUAAUGUGCAUUUUCCCAAUGACUAAUGAAACCAAAUGUCUUUUCCCACGUUUAUUUUCUGUUUGGAUGUCUUCUCUCAUGAAUUAUCUUUUGUGACAUUUGUCCAUUUUCCUAUUGAGUUCUCUCCCUUUUUAUUAUUGAUUUGAAGAACUGCUUUAUAUAUUCCAGAGAAGAGUCCUUUGUCAGAGUCAGAGAGAGAUAAGUAUUGAAACUCUCUUCCUCCAGUCUGUGGUUUAUCUUUUUCACUCUCUUAAUACUUUUGAAGAACAGGCAUCCUUAAUUUUAAUGUAGUACAAUUGAUCAAUAUUUUUCCCCUUAUGGUUAUUGCUUUCUGUGUCUUAAGAAAUCUUUGCCUGAGGCAGUUCUUGUGGCAGCAGCUAAUGCAAGGCUGGAAAAUUGUUAUGCACUGUGUUGCCUGGACCAGCAAACACUACAGUCAGGAUAGUAAAGGGGACCCCAAGAAACCAAAUGAUGAGACGUGAGAUGUCUGCUCAUGCCAUCUUUGUGGAGAAAAAUCUGAAGAUCUUGUGUAAUGCAUUUUCCAAGUACUCUGAGGUGCAAUACAUUGUGUGGGAAAGAGAAAUACAAAUUUGGUGAAAUGGCAAAUUGCACUUUGAGCAAGAAAUGGAGAAUUGAAGAUGAGUUAAGAGAGGUAAUAAAAAAAGAUCACAAUAUCCCAAAUACCCUCCAUAACCCAUCUGGCAUCUUCCUCUUCUACAUAGACCUCUGCCCAAGAUCAAAUCCACAAAUCCAGGCAUUUCCAUUGGAGAUGUGGACAAAAAGCUGGUGACAUAUUAUGGCAUGCAGAAUUAGUAAAAUGGGCACACAAAGAUAUUUUGCGCUAAUUCCUGGAAAAGGAAUUAAUUUUCAUUCCUAUAAAAGGGAUGAGACGUCACUCACUCAGGUGAUCGUGUUCUGUGACAGCAUGCCUGCAGGCUCAGUCACUUGAGUUAUGCCCAACUGUUUGGGACCCCCCUGGACUGUAUUUCGCCAAGCUCCUCUGUCCAUGGGAUUUCCCAGGCAAGAAUACUAGAAUGGGUUGCUGUGCCCUUCUCCAAGGAAUCUUCCCAAUCCAGGGAUCAAGCCUAAGUCUCCUGCAUUGCAGGCAGAUUCUUUACCACUGAGCCACAGGGGAAAUCCAUUCUAUGGCAGAGUUGGCCUUAAAAUAGAUUAUCUGGGUGGGUUGAUCUAAUCAAUGAAAACUUCCUAAGCAGGGAGUUUUCUCCAGUUGGCAGAAGGAUAAGUCAGAGAGAGAUAAAGAAUGAAGGGAAUAUAACUUGAAGAUGGAGGCCAUGUGAAAGGCAUUUAAGCAAUCUUAAAGAACUGAGACAGACCCUUGGCCAACUGCCAUCAAGAAAACAGUUCAAAUUUCUGAGUAAUUCUGAAACAAAAAGACACUUUUAUUGCCUUCAUUCUAUCAACUUAGAGAUUCAUGUGAGAGGGCCAUUAAAAUGUUUCCGGAAUUUAAAAUUAUUUGUAAUUUAUUUGUAAGGUAGUGUUAUCCAUUAGAAACCCUGAGUUAUCAACUGUAUAUACCUAGAGUCUGUAAAAAGAACAAAACAAAGUGGGCAACCUCUGUGGAUCAAGCUUGGUGUUUGUAAUGCCUCUCUAGGUGGCUUGCACGUUCUUAGUUCCUGCUGCUGCUGCUCCUGCUGCUGCUACGUCGCUUCAGUCGUGUCCGACUCUAUGCAAUCCCAUAGACGGCAGCCCAACAGGCUCCCCCAUCCCUGACCAGAGAUCAAAUCAGGCCCCGUGCAGUGUAAGCAGAGUCCUAACCACUGGACCACCAGGGAAUCCAGGCGGCACCUCUGGUAGUGAGUUCAGUGAUGAGGCCCAGCCUGUUGGUUCUGCUUCACAUUGUCCUGUUUCCUAUACAGUGACAUAACAUUCUGCUGACAUUUUAGCUAUGGAAGAGGAACAUUGGCUGGCAUGAGAAGUGUUCUGAUUAACUUUUGUUAAAUCUGGUAGUUGGAAAGCAAAUUGUAAAACUCUUCACUGUCAGAGAAGUGGAUAGUCACUGCUUCAAGGAACGUGCAUAAGCCUUCUGACUAACACCCAAUUUGCAGCA
This is a long non-coding RNA of Bos taurus (domestic cattle), 2103 nucleotides long. The record is from Ensembl. NCBI's taxonomy places the organism in Eukaryota, Metazoa, Chordata, Mammalia, Artiodactyla, Bovidae.